RNAcentral lists this ribosomal RNA (553 nucleotides) under uncultured archaeon. RNAcentral's name for it is "bacterial SSU rRNA". It matches the Rfam family "Archaeal small subunit ribosomal RNA", at positions 326 to 879 of the family's 1478-position model. The record is from RNAcentral.
CGGGGCGCAGCAGGCGCGAAAACUUUACAAUGCUGGCAACAGCGAUAAGGGGACCUCGAGUGCCAGGUUACAAAUCUGGCUGUCGUGAUGCCUAAAAAGCAUUGCAUAGCAAGGGCCGGGCAAGACCGGUGCCAGCCGCCGCGGUAACACCGGCGGCUCGAGUGGUAACCGUUAUUAUUGGGUCUAAAGGGUCUGUAGCCGGCCGGAUAAGUCUCUUGGGAAAUCCAGCAGCUCAACUGUUGGGCUUUCAGGAGAUACUGUCUGGCUCGAGGCCGGGAGAGGUGAGAGGUACUUCAGGGGUAGGGGUGAAAUCUUGUAAUCCUUGAAGGACCACCAGUGGCGAAGGCGUCUCACCAGAACGGACCUGACGGCAAGGGACGAAAGCUAGGGGCACGAACCGGAUUAGAUACCCGGGUAGUCCUAGCCGUAAACGAUACUCGCUAGGUGUCGGCCACGGUGCGACCGUUGUCGGUGCCGUAGGGAAGCCGUGAAGCGAGCCACCUGGGAAGUACGGCCGCAAGGCUGAAACUUAAAGGAAUUGGCGGGGGAGCAC